Molecule: ribosomal RNA, 404 nt
Filed under: Bacillota bacterium
Lineage: Bacteria; Bacillati; Bacillota
Description: Firmicutes bacterium partial 16S ribosomal RNA
Rfam family: Bacterial small subunit ribosomal RNA
Source: RNAcentral
UCGGGAAUUUUGCGCAAUGGACGAAAGUCUGACGCAGCAACGCCGCGUGAGGGAUGACGGCCUUCGGGUUGUAAACCUCUUUUGUCAGGGACGAUGAUGACGGUACCUGACGAAUAAGCCACGGCUAACUACGUGCCAGCAGCCGCGGUAAUACGUAGGUGGCAAGCGUUGUCCGGAUUUACUGGGCGUAAAGAGCGCGCAGGCGGUCGAUUUAGUCGCGUGUGAAAGCCCCCGGCUCAACUGGGGAGGGUCACGCGAUACUGAUCGACUCGAAGGCAGGGGAGGGUAGUGGAAUUCCCGGUGUAGUGGUGAAAUGCGUAGAUAUCGGGAGGAACACCAGUGGCGAAGGCGACUACCUGGCCUGUUCUUGACGCUGAGGCGCGAAAGCUAGGGGAGCAAACGGG